CCCGCUGAACUUAAGCAUAUCAAUAAGCGGAGGAAAAGAAACUAACAAGGAUUCCCCUAGUAACGGCGAGUGAAGCGGGAAAAGCUCAAAUUUAAAAUCUGGUAGUCUUUGGCUGCCCGAGUUGUAAUCUAGAGAAGUGUUUUCCGCGCUGGACUGUGUACAAGUUUCCUGGAUAUGGAACAUCAUAGAGGGUGAGAAUCCCGUCCUUGACACAGACUCCCAGUGCUUUGUGAUGCGCUCUCAACGAGUCGAGUUGUUUGGGAUUGCAGCUCAAAAUGGGAGGUAAAUUCCUUCUAAAGCUAAAUAUUGGCGAGAGACCGAUAGCGAACAAGUACCGUGAGGGAAAGAUGAAAAGCACUCUGGAAAGAGAGUUAAACAGUACGUGAAAUUGUUAAAAGGGAAACGAUUGAAGUCAGUCGCGUCUACUUGGACUCAGCCUUACUUUGGUUUGGUGCAUUUCCUUGUGGACGGGCCAGUGUCCAUGUCGAUUGCUGGAAAAGGUUCAGAGGAAUGUGACUCUUUUAGAGUGUUAUAGCCUCGGUUCAUAUACAGUGGUUGAUAUGGAGUGGUACAGCAUGCUUCGGUGGUGCUUGUGCUGGCAUAAUGGCUUUAAACGACCCGUCUUGAAACACGG
Molecule: ribosomal RNA, 634 nt
Filed under: uncultured fungus
Lineage: Eukaryota; Fungi
Description: eukaryotic LSU rRNA
Rfam family: Eukaryotic large subunit ribosomal RNA
Source: RNAcentral